GCAUGGGUUUGGAUUUAUGCCAGGCCUGCCCCCCUGGGCCUCUCCUGGUGCCCCAUGCCGGGGCAAACUGUGGCCCCGAACCGUUGCCUGGCCUGUGCCCGCAGGCUCCCGGCACUGAAUCGGGUUGCACAGUG
RNAcentral lists this small nucleolar RNA (134 nucleotides) under Microcebus murinus (gray mouse lemur). RNAcentral describes it as "Small nucleolar RNA SNORA42/SNORA80 family (ENSMICG00000044314.1)". It matches the Rfam family "Small nucleolar RNA SNORA42/SNORA80 family". Rfam says of the family: The members of this family belong to the H/ACA class of snoRNAs that guide the sites of modification of uridines to pseudouridines. Human ACA42 (SNORA42) was cloned from HeLa cells by immunoprecipitation with anti-GAR1 antibody. Its is predicted to guide the pseudouridylation of residues U109 and U572 of 18S rRNA. The record is from Rfam by way of RNAcentral. Lineage: Eukaryota; Metazoa; Chordata; Mammalia; Primates; Cheirogaleidae.